UUUCCUACGGGAGGCAGCAGUGAGGAAUAUUGGUCAAUGGACGCAAGUCUGAACCAGCCAUGCCGCGUGCAGGAUGACGGCUCUAUGAGUUGUAAACUGCUUUUGUACGAGGGUAAACCCCGAUACGUGUAUCGGGUUGAAAGUAUCGUACGAAUAAGGAUCGGCUAACUCCGUGCCAGCAGCCGCGGUAAUACGGAGGAUCCGAGCGUUAUCCGGAUUUAUUGGGUUUAAAGGGUGCGCAGGCGGAGGUGCAAGUCAGUGGUCAAAUUGCGGGGCUCAACCCCGUACUGCCGUUGAAACUGCAU
This 305-nucleotide ribosomal RNA is filed under the name uncultured bacterium. RNAcentral's name for it is "bacterial SSU rRNA". It matches the Rfam family "Bacterial small subunit ribosomal RNA", at positions 335 to 638 of the family's 1533-position model. The record is from RNAcentral.